GUAUAUUGAAGAUAAUGAUCCUGCUUCUGAAUGGGAGAUAAGAGAGAGACAAAGACAGAGCUGCUGGCUUUUAAGUCGCAUGAAAAGCUUCAGAUACUACAGCGAUGAGGACCGUAUAUGAAGACAGAGCUGUGCCGUAACUGGAAUCAGCAAUAUCUUGCAACACUGGAUCCACUUCAACACUUCACGGCCUUAUCCCAGCUGUGGCUUUUACCCGUCUGCCAACACUACACGGUUUCUCGGUGGAUUGCUCAGCGGGCAACUGGCUGGUCAGCUCUCAGAUCAUCUUGUACCAGCAGGAGACGACGGUGCACCAGAGCUCUCCAAAGCUGCCUGAGCAAUAUACACGAGGAGAGAAGACUGUGCUUCUCCAUGACAGUUCGUUUGCCCUGGCACCUGAGGGACCCUUUAGGAAGAGGGACAUCAGAAGCAGGCUUUUGGCCCAGGAAAUUGGCACUCUGUGAUAUAUGGCCUGCGUUCAUAGGGGGAUCAUCUCUGCCUCAGGGAAGGGAUAUCUUUGAAGGAAACGACCACAGUUUAAAAUUGUUUUAGGCUUGGCUUGCAAAAAGAGCUAGGGAUCACUUGUCUUCAUGCAACUGGUCCUUGGGAGCCAGUGGGAUUCUGAGCGACUUGCCAAGGACUCAUAGCUGCUCCAACUCCUUUAAACAUCUGGAGAUGAGGAUACUUCCAGACAGCCACGUGAGCUUUCCUAACAGAAGAUUUACGGUCAUGUUCAACUGAUUGUUUGCAUCCAGAGCGGGCUGGGACAUUCUUCAAAUGCUGCCUAGAUAAGCAGUAAAUUAAAAAGCAGUUAAGGAUAGAAAGAUGGAAGUAAAUGAUGCAAGGUGAGAAAAGAGGUGGCCGAGGUCUGUUUAGACUUGAUAUUCUCUGCCUGUCACACUUCAUCUGAUUGUAAGCUGUAAAAGCAGUGUGCUUGUGCUCAGGGGCCUCAAGGUAGCAGCACUGUUGCAUGUCUGAAGCAAGCGGACACCUGAGCACUAGCAGACGUAGUACAUUACAGAGAACAUCUCUCCUGCCUCGUAUCAUUCAUCACAGGAUCAGUUCUGUCCUCCCUUCUAACACUGCUUCACUUGCUGUGCAUCCACAAGAAUUCUCCUGGCUUGGCACUUCAAACUCUAGCCAAGUCACUAAUAUUAUUAAUUGGUGUCCUUAUUAUGAGUGAUUUGCAGUCUUUUAUCACAGUUGUGCUUAGGUGUCACUCCCAAAUUCCUGGUUUUGUUCUGCAUACCCAGUAAAUAGCAGUGCCUUUCCAAAAAACAGAUGCCCCAGGUAAUUCAGAUAAAGCAGGUCAUCACUGCAGCAUUUUGUGCCUUUCUUGCGGUCUAGUUGGUGUAACAGAUUUCUCAUGUCAAGUCCUGGCACCACUGAAAUCAGCAGGAACUUUGCCACAGGCAUCAGCUGGACAAGGAUUUCAUCUCUAAUGUACUGAGCGAUCCAGGGCAGUUAAUGACACUUGGGUUCUGUCUUCAUUCAGAGGGUCUGAAUUUAUGUGUGUAUUUGUUUGUUUAUUUGGGGUUUUGCUAAUGAACAGGUGGCCUUUGAUUCCUGACUCCUCUUUGUAAUGAAGCCAUUUGCAAAUAUGCUGCAGAAUUGUUUACUAAACACAGUUUACCAAGCUUUUCAAAUAAAAACUGCUUAAGAUGUCCA
Molecule: long non-coding RNA, 1668 nt
Filed under: Anas platyrhynchos platyrhynchos (common mallard)
Lineage: Eukaryota; Metazoa; Chordata; Aves; Anseriformes; Anatidae
Description: lncRNA (ENSAPLG00000023608.1)
Source: RNAcentral